GAGGCUUGACCAUAUAACACCCAAGCAAUUUGCGCGUAAGCCGAAUUGUGGUGGUGAAGACGAAAGACCCGAAAGUUCGCAACAUCACAAAUAUCGCAUAUCCGAAUUGGCCACGAGUGUUCACGGACAUUCUGGCAACAGAAUUUCUUGACGACCAUAGAGCAUUGGAACCACCUGAUCCCAUCCCGAACUCAGUAGUGAAACGAUGCAUCGCCGAUGGUAGUGUGGGGUUUCCCCAUGUGAGAGUAGGUCAUCGUCAAGA
This 262-nucleotide ribosomal RNA is filed under the name Pseudomonas sp. LAIL14HWK12:I1. Lineage: Bacteria; Pseudomonadati; Pseudomonadota; Gammaproteobacteria; Pseudomonadales; Pseudomonadaceae. The record is from RNAcentral.